RNAcentral lists this ribosomal RNA (2026 nucleotides) under oral metagenome. Its description in RNAcentral is "bacterial LSU rRNA". It matches the Rfam family "Bacterial large subunit ribosomal RNA", at positions 1 to 2000 of the family's 2925-position model. The record is from RNAcentral.
CUAAGCUAUUAAGAGCAAACGGUGGAUGCCUAGGCGUCAAGAGGCGAUGAAAGACGUGGCAGGCUGCGAUAAGCUUCGGGGAGCUGCCGAACAAGCAUUGAUCCGGAGAUUUCUGAAUGGGGAAACCCGCUGCGGAUAAUACUGCGGCAUCACAGGCUGAAUACAUAGGUUUGUGAGGCGAACGAGGUGAACUGAAACAUCUUAGUAACCUCAGGAAGAGAAAACAACAGUGAUUCCCAAAGUAGCGGCGAGCGAAAUGGGAUUAGCCCAAACCAUAUGCUUCCGGGCAUAUGGGGUUGCAGGACCGCCAUCAUGUGAUCUGCAAUUAGAUAGGAGAAACGGCUGGGAAGUCGUGCCAUAGAGGGUGACAGCCCCGUAUUCGAAAUCGAACGCAGCGCAGGCGGCACCUGAGUACCACGGGACACGAGAAACCCUGUGGGAAUCCGGGAGGACCAUCUUCCAAGGCUAAAUACUCCUUGACGACCGAUAGUGAACCAGUACCGUGAGGGAAAGGUGAAAAGUACCCCGGUGAGGGGAGUGAAACAGUACCUGAAACCGUUUGCUUACAAGCAGUGGGAGCACGAUGCAUUUUUGUGCCGUGUGACUGCGUGCCUUUUGCAUAAUGAGUCAGCGAGUUAUUCUGUGCAGCAAGGUUAAGCCGUCAGGUGUAGCCGUAGCGAAAGCGAGUCUGAAUAGGGCGACAAGUUGCAUGGAGUAGACCCGAAACCAGGUGAUCUAUCCAUGGCCAGGGUGAAGCGGAAGUAAAAUUUCGUGGAGGCCCGAACCGUUGUAGGUUGAAAACUGCUCGGAUGAGCUGUGGAUAGGGGUGAAAGGCCAAACAAACCUGGAAAUAGCUGGUUCUCCCCGAAAUAUAUUUAGGUAUAGCCUCGUGUGAUCAGUGACGGGGGUAGAGCACUGGAUGGGCUAGGGGUCCUACCAGAUUACCAAACCUAACCAAACUCCGAAUACCGUCAACUGCAGCACGGGAGUCAGACUAUGGGAGCUAAGUCCCGUGGUCGAGAGGGAAACAGCCCAGAUCGCCAGCUAAGGUCCCGAAGUAUAUGCUAAGUGGGAAAGGAUGUGGAAAUGCACAGACAACCAGGAGGUUGGCUUAGAAGCAGCCAUCCUUUAAAGAAAGCGUAAUAGCUCACUGGUCGAGUGAGUCUGCGCCGAAGAUGUAACGGGGCUCAAGCAUAUCACCGAAGCUGCGGGAUGUUUUUUGAGACAUCGGUAGGGGAGCAUUGUGUACGGGUGGAAGCCAUAUCGUAAGGAGUGGUGGACUGUACAGAAGAGACCAUGCUGACAUGAGUAACGAUAAAGCGGGUGAAAAUCCCGCUCGCCGUAAGCCCAAGGAUUCCUGAGUAAAGCUGAUCUUCUCAGGGUUAGUCGAUCCCUAAGCCGAGGCCGAAAGGCGUAGGCGAUGGCAAACAGGUAAAUAUUCCUGUACCACCGUGAUAUCGUUUGAGAGAAGGGGGGACGCAGGAGGGUAGGUCAUCCGUCUGCUGGAAUAGGCGGUUUAAGCGUGUAGGCAGAAAGGGCAGGCAAAUCCGUCCUUUUAUAUAAUGCUGAGGCGUUAUGACGAGGAGGUAACUCCAUAAAGUGAUUGAUCCCAUGCUGCCGGGAAAAGCCUCUAUCGAGAUAUCAAGGUGAUCGUACCGUAAACCGACACAGGUAGGCAGGGAGAGAAUCCCAAGGCGCUUGAGAGAACCCUGGUUAAGGAACUCGGCAAAAUGACACCGUAACUUAGGGAGAAGGUGUGCCCCCGUUAGGUGAAGCGACCGAGCUUGCGGAGCUGAGGGGGGUCGCAGAGAAACGGCGGUAGCGACUGUUUACUAAAAACAUAGGACUCUGCCAAGUCGCAAGACGAAGUAUAGGGUCUGACGCCUGCCCGGUGCCGGAAGGUUAAGGGGAGGGGUUAGUUUCGGCGAAGCUCUGAACCGAAGCCCCGGUAAACGGCGGCCGUAACUAUAACGGUCCUAAGGUAGCGAAAUUCCUUGUCGGGUAAGUUCCGACCUGCACGAAUGGC